Molecule: ribosomal RNA, 490 nt
Filed under: uncultured bacterium
Lineage: Bacteria
Description: partial 16S ribosomal RNA
Rfam family: Bacterial small subunit ribosomal RNA
Source: RNAcentral
AUUGAACGCUGGCGGCAGGCCUAACACAUGCAAGUCGAACGGUAACAGGAAACAGCUUGCUGUUUCGCUGACGAGUGGCGGACGGGUGAGUAAUGUCUGGGAAACUGCCUGAUGGAGGGGGAUAACUACUGGAAACAGUAGCUAAUACCGCAUAACGUCGCAAGACCAAAGAGGGGGACCUUCGGGCCUCUUGCCAUCGGAUGUGCCCAGAUGGGAUUAGCUAGUAGGUGGGGUAACGGCUCACCUAGGCGACGAUCCCUAGCUGGUCUGAGAGGAUGACCAGCCACACUGGAACUGAGACACGGUCCAGACUCCUACGGGAGGCAGCAGUGGGGAAUAUUGCACAAAGGGCGCAAGCCUGAUGCAGCCAUGCCGCGUGUAUGAAGAAGGCCUUCGGGUUGUAAAGUACUUUCAGCGGGGAGGAAGGGAGUAAAGUUAAUACCUUUACUCAUUGACGUUACCCGCAGAAGAAGCACCGGCUAACUCCGUG